AACGUAGGACGCAAGCGUUAUCCGGAAUUACUGGGCGUAAAGCGCGUGUAGGUGGUUGUGUAAGUCACUGUUGAAAGCUCCCGGCUAAACUGGGAGAGGUGCGGUGAGACUGCAUGGCUAGAGUAUGGAAGAGGGGUGCAGAAUUCCGGGUGUAGUGGUGAAAUGCGUAGAGAUCCGGAGGAAUACCAGAGGCGAAGGCGGCACCCUGGUCCAAAACUGACACUGAGACGCGAAAGCAUGGGGAGCGAACGGG
RNAcentral lists this ribosomal RNA (253 nucleotides) under uncultured prokaryote. RNAcentral describes it as "partial 16S ribosomal RNA". It matches the Rfam family "Bacterial small subunit ribosomal RNA", at positions 524 to 776 of the family's 1533-position model. The record is from RNAcentral.